CGGGAGGCAGCAGUGAGGAAUAUUGGUCAAUGGAGGCAACUCUGAACCAGCCAUCUCGCGUGAAGGAAUACGGCCCUACGGGUCUUAAACUUCUUUUAUAGGGGGAUAAAGUGAGGUAUGUAUGCCUUUUUGUAGGUACCCUAUGAAUAAGCCUCGGCUAACUCCGUGCCAGCAGCCGCGGUAAUACGGAGGAUGCGGGCGUUAUCCGGAUUUAUUGGGUUUAAAGGGCGCGCAGGCGGCACGUCAAGUCAGCGGUGAAAUGUCGGGGCUCAACCCGGGCACUGCCGUUGAAACUGGCGAGCUUGAGUACGGAUGAAGUCGGCGGAAUGUGAUGUGUAGCGGUGGAAUGCUUAGAUAUGUCACAGAACACCGAUUGCGAAGGCAGCUGACUAAUCCGCAACUGACGCUCAGGCACGAAAGCGUGGGGAUCGAACAGGAUUAGAUACCCUGGUA
This 453-nucleotide ribosomal RNA is filed under the name uncultured Pseudobutyrivibrio sp. Its description in RNAcentral is "partial 16S ribosomal RNA". It matches the Rfam family "Bacterial small subunit ribosomal RNA", at positions 342 to 792 of the family's 1533-position model. Lineage: Bacteria; Bacillati; Bacillota; Clostridia; Lachnospirales; Lachnospiraceae. The record is from RNAcentral.